CAGCAGCAGCCGCGGUAAGACAGAGGAUGCAAGCGUUAUCCGGAAUGAUUGGGCGUAAAGCGUCUGUAGGUGGCUUUUCAAGUCCGCCGUCAAAUCCCAGGGCUCAACCCUGGACAGGCGGUGGAAACCACCAAGCUGGAGUACGGUAGGGGCAGAGGGAAUUUCCAGUGGAGCGGUGAAAUGCGUUGAGAUCGAAAAGAACACCAACAGCGAAAGCACUCUGCUGGGACGACACUGACACUAAGAGACGAAAGCUAGGGGAGCAAAUGGGAUUAGAUACCCGCGUAGUCCCUGUCUCUUAUAC
RNAcentral lists this ribosomal RNA (304 nucleotides) under uncultured bacterium. Its description in RNAcentral is "partial 16S ribosomal RNA". It matches the Rfam family "Bacterial small subunit ribosomal RNA", at positions 506 to 807 of the family's 1533-position model. The record is from RNAcentral.